GACGAACGCUGGCGGCGUGCUUAACACAUGCAAGUCGAACGGAAAGGCCUCUUUCGGGGGGUACUCGAGUGGCGAACGGGUGAGUAACACGUGAGUAACCUGCCCUUGACUUUGGGAUAACUUCAGGAAACUGGGGCUAAUACCGGAUAGGAGCUCCUGCUGCAUGGUGGGGGUUGGAAAGUUUCGGCGGUUGGGGAUGGACUCGCGGCUUAUCAGCUUGUUGGUGGGGUAGUGGCUUACCAAGGCUUUGACGGGUAGCCGGCCUGAGAGGGUGACCGGCCACAUUGGGACUGAGAUACGGCCCAGACUCCUACGGGAGGCAGCAGGGGGGAAUAUUGCACAAUGGGUGGAAGCCGGAUGCAGCAACGCCGUGUGCGGGAUGACGGCCUUCGGGUUGUAAACCGCUUUCGCUCAUGACGAAGCUUUGUGUGACGGUAGUGGGUAAAGAAGCACCGGCUAACUACGUG
RNAcentral lists this ribosomal RNA (467 nucleotides) under uncultured bacterium. Its description in RNAcentral is "partial 16S ribosomal RNA". It matches the Rfam family "Bacterial small subunit ribosomal RNA", at positions 28 to 507 of the family's 1533-position model. The record is from RNAcentral.